CCUCAGCAGCGGGAGGCCCCGGCCGCCGCGCCUGGGGCUCGCAGCACAGAAAGGGGCCCUGGGCAGCAGAAAGAGGGGCGCUGCAGUAAAAAAGGGGGGUGUUGCAGUAAAAAAGGGGAUGCUGCAGCGGAAAGCAGGGUGCUGAGCUGCUCUCCCAGCACUUCAGUGCCUGCUGAGCUCCCUCUCUGCUGGCAGGGUGCUCGGGGGCUUGCUCGGGUGCUGUCGUGGCAGAACAGGUUCUAUAUUUUUGGAUGGUGUCAAGGCGGAGCUUUGUAUCCUCCUGUCCCAAAGAGCAGAGGGGAAAGGAGGAACGUGAUCUGCUCCUGGAGCCUUGCUGGAGCUGAGUGCUCCCCCGCACCAUCCCAUAACCAGUUACCCCAUGUGGGUGCUGCUGGGCGGCCCCAUCCCAAGGCGCCGCGCCGCUCCCCAGCUUCGAAGCUGAGCCGAAGCCCUCUCGACCUCCGUGGCCGAAGUCAUGUUUAGCGCAAAUUCAUCCCAGUCCCACAUGCAGAAUUAGAUAACCUUAUCACCGCAUCCUGCACAGAUCAGUAACUCUGCAUGGCUGUCAGCUCCUUUCAGCCAGCCGUAAUUGCCUAGCAACGUCGCGCUGUCUCUUUGGAGGCAGCCUAAUUCGGUUUCUGGUCAUCCAUACCAGAGCCCCACGCAGGCAUCUGGCAAAGCGGGGGGCAGACGGGCACGGAGAGCGGCCGGAGCAGCGGGCACCGCGAUGGGCAGGCAGCAAUAAGGUCUUCCUGAGCAGUCUGAGAUCCUGGUUAAGCUGUAUGCCCGUGCCUGUGCCACCGCUUAUCCAUUUAUUCCAAGGAAUAAAAUGGGAUUUAGGCAAGGGCAGGCAUCUGGCGUUGUGCUUCCCUGCCCAAACCCGACCCGCAGCGAGCGAUGCCAGCUGUGAAGGGGUUUACCCAUAUCUGCUGCUGUGUCUGGAGGUGCCUUACAGCAAGGGCCAGCAGCGGGCCUGGUGCUGGGAACUGUCAGCGGAAAGUCUGAGUAUCGCUGUGUUGUGGGGCAGCCUUGGCUCAGGACGGGGUACAAAACCUCCGUUUUGGCAUUUACUGACCAGGGAGCGUUUGGCUGCGGGAUCUGAACUCUUCAGCUGUGUUCCCAUGUAGAAACCACGCAUAAGAAGCAGUGAGUCUCUUUAAGAUAAAUUAAAUGCUAAUGCUGAUUUAGAAAGGGUUUAUGGGAGGUAGCCCGUGGCUCAGGCUGGCAAUGCAGAGGUGGAAAACAGAGGCUGGGUGAAGGAACAGGGGCCACAGCUGCUGUCCUGGCCCCAUCCCUGCAGUGAUGGGAAAUGGGUGCCUGGCGCUGCAGGGUGCUGAGCUUCUCCUAACAGUGCCAAGCACUGCCCAGCUCCCUGGGGAUCGGCUGGAGCUGAGCGUGAGUGUCUUAUGGUGCUGGGGAUGUUAAAAAGUAAAUAUAGGUAAUUUCAUGUAGAUAGGUGAGAGCCCUGUACUGCCACAGAAAUGCCGCCGUUGAGCUUGAUGAUUUCCCCUGGGGAUGGGUGGGCUCGUGCUGCAGACUUCCAGGUCUGAGAUUUCCCCAGAGCUGUUGGAGCCGCAGUUUCGGAGCCAGCCCAGCUGUGCCUGUGAGUUUAAACCCAGACCCAGACACCAAGUCUUGGGGGGGGGGGGCGGUGGUGGAGGCUUUUUCUUUGGGCUCAUCCCAAACUGAGACCUCCAGCCCCACCGGCGCAGCUGCCGCUGUUCGG
Molecule: long non-coding RNA, 1726 nt
Organism: Cygnus olor (mute swan)
Lineage: Eukaryota; Metazoa; Chordata; Aves; Anseriformes; Anatidae
Exons: 2
Source: RefSeq, a predicted model, not a curated record